GUCCCUAUCGUCUAGCUUGGUCCAGGACAUCGCCCUUUCACGGCGAAAACAGGGGUUCAAAUCCCCUUAGGGACGCCA
Molecule: transfer RNA, 78 nt
Filed under: bacterium
Lineage: Bacteria
Description: tRNA-Glu
Rfam family: tRNA
About the family: Transfer RNA (tRNA) molecules are approximately 80 nucleotides in length.
Source: RNAcentral